UGCGUCCAUGAUACAGAUGGAGGAUAUUGUUUGAUGCAAGAUAUUUUGCAUAGCCCACUCAAAAAGAUUAUAUAAUAAUCAUAAACACCAGUAUAUAAAACUGAGACUAAACUACUACUCUGCAUCAUGGUGUUGUUUAAAUUUCCAUUCUUCACUGCAAAGGCUAUAGCAUAGUGCUGAUCCAAAUACACCAAACUUGCACAGAGAU
This 208-nucleotide long non-coding RNA is filed under the name Solanum tuberosum (potato). RNAcentral's name for it is "long non-coding RNA (STUB_LNC006636)". Lineage: Eukaryota; Viridiplantae; Streptophyta; Magnoliopsida; Solanales; Solanaceae. The record is from RNAcentral.